AUGCUGGAGGUAUCAGAAGUGCGAAUGCUGACAUAAGUAACGAUAAAGCGGGUGAAAAGCCCGCUCGCCGGAAGACCAAGGGUUCCUGUCCAACGUUAAUCGGGGCAGGGUGAGUCGACCCCUAAGGCGAGGCCGAAAGGCGUAGUCGAUGGGAAACAGGUUAAUAUUCCUGUACUUGGUGUUACUGCGAAGGGGGGACGGAGAAGGCUAUGUUGGCCGGGCGACGGUUGUCCCGGUUUAAGCGUGUAGGCUGGUUUUCCAGGCAAAUCCGGAAAAUCAAGGCUGAGGCGUGAUGACGAGGCACUACGGUGCUGAAGCAACAAAUGCCCUGCUUCCAGGAAAAGCCUCUAAGCAUCAGGUAACAUCAAAUCGUACCCCAAACCGACACAGGUGGUCAGGUAGAGAAUACCAAGGCGCUUGAGAGAACUCGGGUGAAGGAACUAGGCAAAAUGGUGCCGUAACUUCGGGAGAAGGCACGCUGAUAUGUAGGUGAAGUCCCUCGCGGAUGGAGCUGAAAUCAGUCGAAGAUACCAGCUGGCUGCAACUGUUUAUUAAAAACACAGCACUGUGCAAACACGAAAGUGGACGUAUACGGUGUGACGCCUGCCCGGUGCCGGAAGGUUAAUUGAUGGGGUUAGCGCAAGCGAAGCUCUUGAUCGAAGCCCCGGUAAACGGCGGCCGUAACUAUAACGGUCCUAAGGUAGCGAAAUUCCUUGUCGGGUAAGUUCCGACCUGCACGAAUGGCGUAAUGAUGGCCAGGCUGUCUCCACCCGAGACUCAGUGAAAUUGAACUCGCUGUGAAGAUGCAGUGUACCCGCGGCAAGACGGAAAGACCCCGUGAACCUUUACUAUAGCUUGACACUGAACAUUGAGCCUUGAUGUGUAGGAUAGGUGGGAGGCUUUGAAGUGUGGACGCCAGUCUGCAUGGAGCCGACCUUGAAAUACCACCCUUUAAUGUUUGAUGUUCUAACGUGGACCCGUAAUCCGGGUUGCGGACAGUGUCUGGUGGGUAGUUUGACUGGGGCGGUCUCCUCCUAAAGAGUAACGGAGGAGCACGAAGGUUGGCUAAUCCUGGUCGGACAUCAGGAGGUUAGUGCAAUGGCAUAAGCCAGCUUGACUGCGAGCGUGACGGCGCGAGCAGGUGCGAAAGCAGGUCAUAGUGAUCCGGUGGUUCUGAAUGGAAGGGCCAUCGCUCAACGGAUAAAAGGUACUCCGGGGAUAACAGGCUGAUACCGCCCAAGAGUUCAUAUCGACGGCGGUGUUUGGCACCUCGAUGUCGGCUCAUCACAUCCUGGGGCUGAAGUAGGUCCCAAGGGUAUGGCUGUUCGCCAUUUAAAGUGGUACGCGAGCUGGGUUUAGAACGUCGUGAGACAGUUCGGUCCCUAUCUGCCGUGGGCGCUGGAGAACUGAGGGGGGCUGCUCCUAGUACGAGAGGACCGGAGUGGACGCAUCACUGGUGUUCGGGUUGUCAUGCCAAUGGCACUGCCCGGUAGCUAAAUGCGGAAGAGAUAAGUGCUGAAAGCAUCUAAGCACGAAACUUGCCCCGAGAUGAGUUCUCCCUGAC
RNAcentral lists this ribosomal RNA (1564 nucleotides) under Escherichia coli. RNAcentral's name for it is "partial 23S ribosomal RNA". It matches the Rfam family "Bacterial large subunit ribosomal RNA", at positions 1270 to 2819 of the family's 2925-position model. The record is from RNAcentral. Lineage: Bacteria; Pseudomonadati; Pseudomonadota; Gammaproteobacteria; Enterobacterales; Enterobacteriaceae.